Long non-coding RNA from Piliocolobus tephrosceles (Ugandan red Colobus), 800 nucleotides. RefSeq lists it as uncharacterized. The transcript is spliced from 4 exons. The record is from RefSeq and is a predicted model, not a curated record. Lineage: Eukaryota; Metazoa; Chordata; Mammalia; Primates; Cercopithecidae.
AUCUGAUUGUUUUAGGUCUGGGACUUCCUGGGGCUGCAUUCCUAGGACAGGCUGGGUGCACCUGGAUUUGGCUUAAUCCAAAUCGAUGGAUAUGCAACGACACUGCUUCACACGCGUGACUCUCUUCUUCUUGCAGGAUGGAUUAACCUCUCUGCCCAGAGGACUACAUUCCUCCAGAAAUGUCCCAGUCUUUUCUCCCCAGCUAGCCUGAGCCUUCCUGAGCUGGGAAUGCUUCUGAGACGUUGCAUUUUUAUCCUAUGUGGAAGGAGAGAUUCGUGGAGACCAGAAUGCAUUUGACAGAGGGAAAACAACAAAGCAGGAAAGAGAGAAGUAAACACCAACUUCAAGAAUGGCAAUCGGUAUCUCAGCUUCUCAUAGAACAGCAAUGCUCUGAGGCACACUAGCUGCUCUACAUGAGUGACAGUAAGCAGGACAAGUUGCACCAAGGAGAUAAGAAGAGUCCCUUGCUGGCACACAGGUAGAGGAUAAAGUCUCAUCGCCUUUGUGUUGUAAGAACCCUGAACAGCCUCUCUAGUCUGAAGACCACGUUGGCUAAAUCAGGCUAGGGCCCAACAUUGCAUAGGACAGGGAGGAGACCACCUGGUUGUGAAAUAUCUCAGGAGCUCUAUGUUUGUCAAAGAUUUUCUUAGGAAAGUUAAUGACUAUAUACAAUUCUUGAGAUCAACAACAAACGAGUUAGAAAGUAAUAAAUAUUAACCGUUCACUGAGCAGCACUGCUGAGAGACGGCCAAGUUACGGGUUCUAUUCUGUAGUGAAAGAUGUGUUAGUCACUGCGUAAC